GGUUGUGGCUCAGUGGUAGAGCGCUUGCCUAGCAUGUGUGAGGCACUGGUUUCAAUUCACAGAACCA
Molecule: transfer RNA, 67 nt
Filed under: Marmota monax (woodchuck)
Lineage: Eukaryota; Metazoa; Chordata; Mammalia; Rodentia; Sciuridae
Description: tRNA.Ala
Source: RNAcentral